UAAAUCUAGGAUUAGAUACCCUAUUAUAAUAAAUAAUAAAAUAUAUUUUAAUAGGAUAUUAAAUGUUAUAACAUUAAAUUUAAUAGAUUUGGCGGUAUUUUAUAAAAUUAGAGGAAUCUGUAAAAUAAUUGAUAAUCCACGAUAAGAAAAACUUAUUAAAAAUAUUUAUGUAUUGCUGUUUUAAAAAUUUUAUUAAGUAAAAUUUUAAAUUUAUUAUAUAAAUAUAAUUCAAGUCAAAAUAUAGUUUAUGUAAGAAAUUUAUGGAUUACAUUUUUUUAUUAAUAAUGGUUAUUUAAAUUUAAUUUUAAAUAUAAAUUGGAUUUAAUAGUAAAAUUGAUAAAUUAAUUAAUUUGAAUAAAUUUUGAAAAUUUAUAAAAUAUGUACAAAUUGCCCGUCACUUUCAAUAAAAUGAAAUAAGUCGUAACAUAGUUUAGAUACUGGAAAGUGUUUAUAGAUAAUAUAGAUA
RNAcentral lists this ribosomal RNA (466 nucleotides) under Polistes sp. MD1. RNAcentral's name for it is "partial 12S ribosomal RNA". The record is from RNAcentral. Lineage: Eukaryota; Metazoa; Arthropoda; Insecta; Hymenoptera; Vespidae.